GAUGAAGAACGUAGUGAAAUGCGAUAAGUAGUGUGAAUUGCAGAAUUCAGUGAAUCAUCGAAUCUUUGAACGCACAUUGCGCCCCAUGGUAUUCCGUGGGGCAUGCCUGUUCGAGCGUCAUUUACCCCCUCAAGCUCCGCUUGGUGUUGGGCGUCUGUCCCGCUUCGCGCGCGGACUCGCCCCAAAGGUAUUGGCAGCGGUCGUGCCAGCUUCUCGCGCAGCACAUUGCGCUUCUCGAGGCACCGGUGGGCCCGCGUCCAUCAAGCUCACCCCCCCAGUUUGACCUCGGAUCAGGUAGGGAUACCCGCUGAACUUAAGCAUAUCAAUAAGCGGAGGA
Molecule: unclassified non-coding RNA, 337 nt
Filed under: soil metagenome
Description: partial contains 5.8S ribosomal RNA, internal transcribed spacer 2, and large subunit ribosomal RNA
Rfam family: 5.8S ribosomal RNA (bases 1-120)
Source: RNAcentral